CAUGCCUCUAGCAUCGCUCACAGCCAUCCACUAGAGGCGCUUCCAACGAAAUGGCCAACUGAAAUGCAGCCAUUUCUAACAGACAGUCUUACUGAGACCAUCCAAUUGGUGCAGCACAGCGUCCUCACUGGUAUCCCAAUUCUUUCCUAUGGGAAAACACUGGAUUAUCUCAGCCAGGGAGGCGAGAUGCUGUGAGAGAGAAAGAAAAGGUAAG
Non-coding RNA from Pelobates cultripes (western spadefoot toad), 214 nucleotides. The record is from the annotation of a GenBank genome assembly. Lineage: Eukaryota; Metazoa; Chordata; Amphibia; Anura; Pelobatidae.